This 254-nucleotide ribosomal RNA is filed under the name uncultured bacterium. RNAcentral's name for it is "partial 16S ribosomal RNA". It matches the Rfam family "Bacterial small subunit ribosomal RNA", at positions 524 to 776 of the family's 1533-position model. The record is from RNAcentral.
UACGUAGGGUGCAAGCGUUGUCCGGAAUUAUUGGGCGUAAAGAGCUCGUAGGCGGUUUGUCGCGUCUGCUGUGAAAACUCGGGGCUUAACCCCGGGCCUGCAUUCGAUACGGGCAGACUAGAGUUCGGUAGGGGAGUCUGGAAUUCCUGGUGUAGCGGUGAAAUGCGCAGAUAUCAGGAGGAACACCGGUGGCGAAGGCGGGACUCUGGGCCGAUACUGACGCUGGAGGAGCGAAAGCGUGGGGAGCAAACAGG